Molecule: ribosomal RNA, 491 nt
Filed under: uncultured bacterium
Lineage: Bacteria
Description: bacterial SSU rRNA
Rfam family: Bacterial small subunit ribosomal RNA
Source: RNAcentral
GGUCAGGAUGAACGCUGGCGGCGUGCCUAACACAUGCAAGUCGAGCGGAGUUAUGAGAGGUGCUUGCACCACUUUAACUAGCGGCGGACGGGUGAGUAACACGUGAGUAACCUGCCCUCGAGUGGGGAACAACAUCGAGAAAUCGGUGCUAAUACCGCAUAAUAUCUCUUUGCCGCAUGACAGAGAGAUCAAAGGAUUUAUUCGCUUGAGGAUGGACUCGCGUCCGAUUAGUUAGUUGGUGAGGUAACGGCCCACCAAGACAUCGAUCGGUAGCCGAACUGAGAGGUUGAUCGGCCACAUUGGGACUGAGACACGGCCCAGACUCCUACGGGAGGCAGCAGUGGGGAAUAUUGGGCAAUGGGCGAAAGCCUGACCCAAGCAACGCCGCGUGAAGGAUGAAGGUCUUCGGAUUGUAAACUUCUUUGAUCAGGGACGAAACAAAUGACGGUACCUGAAGAACAAGCCACGGCUAACUACGUGCCAGCAGCGGC